GACGAACGCUGGCGGCGUGCCUAACACAUGCAAGUCGAGCGGGGAGGAGGAAGCUUGCUUCCGAAUCCUAGCGGCGGACGGGUGAGUAACGCGUGAGCAACCUGCCUCUUACAGGGGGAUAACGCAUCGAAAGAUGUGCUAAUACCGCGUAAGACCACGGUACCGCAUGGUACAGGGGUCAAAGGAGCAAUCCGGUAAGAGAUGGGCUCGCGUCCGAUUAGAUAGUUGGUGAGGUAACGGCUCACCAAGUCGACGAUCAGUAGCCGAACUGAGAGGUUGAUCGGCCACAUUGGGACUGAGACACGGCCCAGACCCU
This 316-nucleotide ribosomal RNA is filed under the name uncultured bacterium. RNAcentral describes it as "bacterial SSU rRNA". It matches the Rfam family "Bacterial small subunit ribosomal RNA", at positions 28 to 339 of the family's 1533-position model. The record is from RNAcentral.